GCGCAAGUGGCGGAACUGGUAUACGCGUUGGCCUUAGGAGCCAAUGCCCGCAAGGGCUUGUGGGUUCAAGUCCCACCUUGCGCACCA
This 87-nucleotide transfer RNA is filed under the name Parcubacteria group bacterium ADurb.Bin192. Its description in RNAcentral is "tRNA-Leu". It matches the Rfam family "tRNA". From Rfam's summary of the family: Transfer RNA (tRNA) molecules are approximately 80 nucleotides in length. Their secondary structure includes four short double-helical elements and three loops (D, anti-codon, and T loops). The record is from RNAcentral. RNAcentral also lists the same sequence under 2 other names.